RNAcentral lists this ribosomal RNA (495 nucleotides) under uncultured bacterium. RNAcentral describes it as "partial 16S ribosomal RNA". It matches the Rfam family "Bacterial small subunit ribosomal RNA", at positions 28 to 507 of the family's 1533-position model. The record is from RNAcentral.
GACGAACGCUGGCGGCGUGCCUAAUACAUGCAAGUAGAACGCUGAAGGAGGAGCUUGCUUCUCUGGAUGAGUUGCGAACGGGUGAGUAACGCGUAGGUAACCUACCUGGUAGCGGGGGAUAACUAUUGGAAACGAUAGCUAAUACCGCAUAAGAGUAGAUGUCGCAUGACAUUUGCUUAAAAGGUGCAAUUGCAUCACUACCAGAUGGACCUGCGUUGUAUUAGCUAGUUGGUGAGGUAACGGCUCACCAAGGCAACGAUACAUAGCCGACCUGAGAGGGUGAUCGGCCACACUGGGACUGAGACACGGCCCAGACUCCUACGGGAGGCAGCAGUAGGGAAUCUUCGGCAAUAGACGGAAGUCUGACCGAGCAACGCCGCGUGAGUGAAGAAGGUUUUCGGAUCGUAAAGCUCUGUUGUAAGAGAAGAACGAGUGUGAGAGUGGAAAGUUCACACUGUGACGGUAUCUUACCAGAAAGGGACGGCUAACUACGUG